CAGUAAAAGAAGAGGGCGUGUAAACAAGCGCUUGGUGAAAGGGGAGAGCUAUGUCGGCAGUGACCUUUGGUUUAAGUGGGUAAAUGUUUUACCCAAAAUGUCUGGUGUUGGUAAACUUGAUUUUGUAAUAGGCCCAUACAAACACGCUUAAUGUGCAGGUUACGUGACUAAAAUAACAUUAGAAUAAGUCAUGGGCUGACAAUCUGAAACGGACACUAAACUGUUCCCGCGCUCUGUGUUAUCCACAAAAUGGAGGAGGAGGAGCAGGCGGGGGAAGCGCUGUGCAGAAGAAUGGUUUCUCGUGUCCGAAACAAGCAGCAGCACCCCCAGCUCUCUGCGGAGCAGAGGGGGAGAGACAAAGGAGCCUGUUGGAGACAGGUUGUAUCCGCGGACGAGUAUAAAGAUGAUGGGGAAUGUAACCUCCCUCUCCCAGGCAGUCGAGGGAGAAACCUAACCUCCCCGAAAUAUCUCAUAAAUCAAGGUCCCGAAGUCCACGCCGUCCCUCCUCAACUCCUCUCAAUGCUGAGGCUCAAAACUUUCAAGGAGGACAUGAGACAGGCUGCAGAGUUGGAACUCCAUGAUCCCGCUGUCUGCAGAGUGUGUGAGCAGGAACGGGCUUCUCUGGCCUUGAGAAGUUUUAUCAGGAGGAAGAAGACACAACUGCAGCUCCAAACACUGAAGGGCAGACUAAACACACACUUGAGCUAUGGAGGGUGUGCAAUGUCUCCCAAAGCCCUGCAAUGCCCAUCCCUGGAUUUGGGAAGGAACUACUCAGUGGAGAUGUGCCGGUCUGGGUCACAGCAACCUGGGGUUGCCGUAGCAACGGCUAAGGAACGUGGCGUUGCCCUGGCAACAGAUGAAAUGAGGGGUUACCCUGACAAAAACGCUACAGGAACUCAUUUAGCAGGACCUCACUGUCCCUUUUCAGACAGAUAGCUUCAGUAUGAUGGGCACAGUGUUAAUACAAUGAAAGGGACGAUGUUGUGGUGGAGUCAAGCAUAUUCCUAUCUCUAUUUAGACACAAUGCAUAAACACGCCCAUUUGCCUGAUACACAGUAAUGCAUAUGCUGAUCCUCCGCUUCACUGCUCGGCUACAGCUGUGUUUACGUUCACACUGCUAAAUACCAGAAGCUAAUGUCUAGCCUUUGUUUUGAGUGUAAAAGAAAUAGGACAUCAUAACAAGGUUAAUACAAAACAGCCAUUUAUUUUCUUUAUCACUGUAUUAAAGUUAAACACACAACACUUUUCAGAGCAGAUGAGUCUGUUUUUUUUUUUCUUCCUAUCCUGUCGGUUGUCACUUGAACACUGUAAACAUUAAAACAACAUUGUGUUUCAUCUAACUUUAA
Long non-coding RNA from Eleginops maclovinus (Patagonian blennie), 1346 nucleotides. RefSeq lists it as uncharacterized. NCBI's taxonomy places the organism in Eukaryota, Metazoa, Chordata, Actinopteri, Perciformes, Eleginopidae. The record is from RefSeq and is a predicted model, not a curated record. The transcript is spliced from 3 exons.